RNAcentral lists this small nuclear RNA (191 nucleotides) under Salmo salar (Atlantic salmon). Its description in RNAcentral is "U2 spliceosomal RNA". It matches the Rfam family "U2 spliceosomal RNA". Rfam says of the family: U2 is a small nuclear RNA (snRNA) component of the spliceosome (involved in pre-mRNA splicing). Complementary binding between U2 snRNA (in an area lying towards the 5' end but 3' to hairpin I) and the branchpoint sequence (BPS) of the intron results the bulging out of an unpaired adenosine, on the BPS, which initiates a nucleophilic attack at the intronic 5' splice site, thus starting the first of two transesterification reactions that mediate splicing. The record is from Rfam by way of RNAcentral. Lineage: Eukaryota; Metazoa; Chordata; Actinopteri; Salmoniformes; Salmonidae.
NNNGCUUCUCGGCCUUUUGGCUCAGAUCAAGUGUAGUAUCUGUUCUUAUCAGUUUAAUAUCUGAUACGUCCCCCAUCGGGGGACUACAUAUUAAAUGGAUUUUUCGAACAGGGAGUCGGAAAUGGGGCUUGCUCCGUCCGCUCCACGCAUCGACCCGGUAUUGCAGUACCUCCGGGAACGGUGCAACACUU